UGCAAAUAGAAAACUACCACAAACCUCUACCUAGGAUAGGAGAUUUUACCCAUUCCCAGCACAACAGAGAGAGGUUUGUCGGACUUCAUUCUAUUGAGGGCUGUUGCACUCCAUCCUCUGCAGAAGCUCUUAGUUCAAACUCUUGGUCUGUCCCACUGAGCUAGGCCAUGAACCAAGGGCUAGUCACUAGAAAAGACAGGCUCUGCUGUGGCCCUGCCUGGAAACAGGGGAAGGACCCUGGUGGUCCUUUGGACCAACAUCCCCGACCAGAAGCUAUUAGCCAUCUCUUCCAUGAUUUUCUCAAGUCCAAGUUUGGUAGAAGGGACUUUGACUAGUAGGAAGUUGUAUUUCCCUCUCAGAACUUCUAACUCUGUAAAACAGCAAUUGGAUUUCUGUGGCACCUGAAAUCCCUCCCAUCUGCAACUUUUUUGGAUCAUUCUCCCUACUCUCUUGAGAGUGGCUCAGCCUCUCCUCCUGACAGGUUCACAAGGUCUGCUCAGCCUGUGCACAGGCUGCCUUGGACAGCCUCUGCAGAGUCCUUCUGUGCCCGGCACCAUGCCUGCCCCUAUGCGGGUGCCAGAGAGGCAGGAGAUAGUCUUGUCUUUGUGGAGUUUACAUUCUGGCCAGAAGACCAGAAACACCAUCUGCAUGGCAGCAGCUCAUCCCCUGCUCCUUUCCUGACCGCCCUCUAAAUCACAUCCUUACUUCCAACCUGGCCUUCCCUUGGAUACCAAGGCCAGAAAGGAGUCCAUGGAGGGAUUGGGCAAGUCCAAUUCUUCUCCUAGGAGAAUAACUCAAAACUUUCUUGUUGACUCUGGACCAGUAGCAUCACCUCUGCGCAUGCAGAACAGGAUGCUGCUUCUUUCAUAACCGGAAGUCAAUUGGUAUUGUUUAAGAUACCACAGUCAAACUUUGUUCUGCCCAGUUAUGUUUUGAAAUGACAGCUCCAAUAAUAAAUUCUUAAUUAUAGUGCACUUUUAAUGAUCCAGAUGAUCCUGAUUAGACUGUGGCCAUCAGAAACUUGUGGCACUAGUUUCAGUUUGGACAGCAUAAACCCAGGUGAACCCAAGAGGAACUCAGGUGCUCUCCUCCUUAGAGGAGACCCAGUAGGGAGAAGACAGGAUCUGUUGGAGAAGGCAAGUUUCUCUGCUUGAAGUUGAGGCAGUGUGGAGAAUUUGGAGGGAAACAGGCCGCGAUUAGUGAUUGC
Molecule: long non-coding RNA, 1207 nt
Filed under: Homo sapiens (human)
Lineage: Eukaryota; Metazoa; Chordata; Mammalia; Primates; Hominidae
Description: HSALNT0015376
Source: RNAcentral